Molecule: ribosomal RNA, 458 nt
Filed under: uncultured bacterium
Lineage: Bacteria
Description: bacterial SSU rRNA
Rfam family: Bacterial small subunit ribosomal RNA
Source: RNAcentral
AGUGAACGCUGGCGGCAGGCCUAACACAUGCAAGUCGAACGGCAGCACAGCAGUAGCAAUACUGUGGGUGGCGAGUGGCGGACGGGUGAGGAAUACAUCGGAAUCUGCCUAGUCGUGGGGGAUAACGUAGCGAAAGUUACGCUAAUACCGCAUACGAACUAAGGUUGAAAGUGGGGGAUCGCAAGACCUCAUGCUCAUGGAGUGGCCGAUAUCUGAUUAGCUAGUUGGUGAGGUAAAGGCUCACCAAGGCGACGAUCAGUAGCUGGUCUGAGAGGACGACCAGCCACACUGGAACUGAGACACGGUCCAGACUCCUACGGGAGGCAGCAGUGGGGGAAUUUUGGGACAAUGGGGGCAACCCUGAUCCAGCAAUGCCGCGUGAGUGAAGAAGGCCUCGGGUUGUAAGACUCUUUUGUUCUAGGGAAGAAACGGUUAGUUGGGCUAAUAUCCAUGGCUAA